AUUGAACGCUGGCGGCAGGCCUAACACAUGCAAGUCGAACGGUAACAGGGAUCAGCUUGCUGAUUCGCUGACGAGUGGCGGACGGGUGAGUAAUGUCUGGGAAACUGCCUGAUGGAGGGGGAUAACUACUGGAAACGGUAGCUAAUACCGCAUAACGUCGCAAGACCAAAGAGGGGGACCUUCGGGCCUCUUGCCAUCGGAUGCGCCCAGCUGGGAUUAGCUAGUAGGUGGGGUAACGGUUCACCUAGGCGACGAUCCCUAGCUGGUCUGAGAGGAUGACCAGCCACACUGGAACUGAGACACGGUCCAGACGCCUACGGGAGGCAGCAGUGGGGAAUGUUGCACAAUGGGCGCAAGCCUGAUGCAGCCAGGCCGCGUGUAUGAAGAAGGCCUUCGGGUUGUAAAGUACUUUCAGCGGGGAGGAAGGGAGUAAAGUUGAUACCUUGGCUCAUUGACGUUACCCGCAGAAGAAGCACCGGCUAACUCCGUA
This 490-nucleotide ribosomal RNA is filed under the name uncultured bacterium. RNAcentral's name for it is "partial 16S ribosomal RNA". It matches the Rfam family "Bacterial small subunit ribosomal RNA", at positions 30 to 507 of the family's 1533-position model. The record is from RNAcentral.